AGAAGCUUUAAGAGAGUAAAGUGAAAUGUCCAAGACGUAAAAAAAAAGUUCCGUUCGAGAUUCACGGUGGGAAACAAAGCAUAGCACAUGUAAUUUUGUUUUAGAAUUGUCGUCUGGGAUUGAAAGACCAGGAAAAAUGUCUGCAGAAGCUUAGUAACAUGAAGCUUGAGAGCAAAAAAGCUGGAAAAAUGAGGAUUGCAUUUGGGCAUCAGACAGUUAGCAAAUAUUUGUCACAGAUUAUAAGAAGGCGCUUGUGAGUUUUACUUCUUAAAUAAUGCUAUAAGGUUUGUCCCUUACAGAAGAUUCAUGAUGAAUCUCUUGCCGAGCUCAAGUUGAUACAUGCAAGGAUGAGGGAAUGCGAUACACAUGUUAUAUAGUGAGGAUGGAGACGGAUCACAAGGAGGGACAGAUUAUGAUUUUGAAUCUUGUGAUCCGUAGCCAGAGAAAAACUUGAAAAGCUCCAGUAAGAUCAAUCAGGCUUGGAAAAAAGAGUGAACAAGAAGGUUAUGGCUAUGUUUGAGAAAGCAGAAGAUGAAUACAAUGCUCUGAUAUCGAAGAAAAAUACUACCGAGAAUGACAAAUAAAAAAAUCACAAAAGUGAUUGAGGAGCUUGAUCAGAAGAAAAAAGAAACCCUGAAAGUUACGUGGGUUAAAGUAAACCAGGAUUUCGGAUCAAUCUUGUGAUCCAUAUGUAGCCAGAGAAAAACAUGAAAACCUCCACUCAGAUCAAUCAAGCUUAGAAAGAAAAGUUAACAAGAAAGGUUAUUGCUAUGUUUGAGAAAGCAGAAGAUGAAUACAAUGCUCUGGUAUCAAAGAAAAAUUACCUACGAGGACGACAAAUCCAAAAUCAAGAAGUGAUUGAGGAGCUCGAUGAGAAGAGAAAAGGGAUGAUCUAUUUCUCCAACACUGAGUCUGUGAUGUUCCUCUCUAUUUUCUCUAUUCAGUUUUCCUCCAUUUCUUUCCAUAAAGUUACUUUGGAAAGCAUUAGUGAAUGAUAAAAGAACCUUUGGUGAAUUACGUCUGAGAAUAUCUUUAAAACUGUAUACAUGAAAAGAAAAACUAGAUUGUGCAGAAACGUCAA
Molecule: long non-coding RNA, 1081 nt
Organism: Arabidopsis lyrata subsp. lyrata
Lineage: Eukaryota; Viridiplantae; Streptophyta; Magnoliopsida; Brassicales; Brassicaceae
Exons: 9
Source: RefSeq, a predicted model, not a curated record